UACGUAGGGUGCGAGCGUUAAUCGGAAUUACUGGGCGUAAAGCGUGCGCAGGCGGUGAUGUAAGACAGGUGUGAAAUCCCCGGGCUUAACCUGGGAACUGCAUUUGUGACUGCAUCGCUGGAGUGCGGCAGAGGGGGAUGGAAUUCCGCGUGUAGCAGUGAAAUGCGUAGAUAUGCGGAGGAACACCGAUGGCGAAGGCAAUCCCCUGGGCCUGCACUGACGCUCAUGCACGAAAGCGUGGG
This 242-nucleotide ribosomal RNA is filed under the name uncultured bacterium. RNAcentral describes it as "partial 16S ribosomal RNA". It matches the Rfam family "Bacterial small subunit ribosomal RNA", at positions 524 to 765 of the family's 1533-position model. The record is from RNAcentral.